This 428-nucleotide ribosomal RNA is filed under the name uncultured bacterium. RNAcentral describes it as "partial 16S ribosomal RNA". It matches the Rfam family "Bacterial small subunit ribosomal RNA", at positions 354 to 796 of the family's 1533-position model. The record is from RNAcentral.
GUGGGGAAUAUUGGGCAAUGGGCGCAAGCCUGACCCAGCAACGCCGCGUGAGGGAAGAAGGUUUUCGGAUUGUAAACCUCUGUCGCAGAUGACGAAGGAAGUGACGGUAAUCUGUGAGGAAGCCCCGGCUAACUACGUGCCAGCAGCCGCGGUAAUACGUAGGGGGCGAGCGUUGUCCGGAAUUACUGGGCGUAAAGGGAGCGUAGGCGGUCGAUUAAGUUGGAUGUGAAAUACCCGGGCUUAACUUGGAGGGUGCAUCCAAUACUGGUUGACUAGAGUACAGGAGAGGAAAGCGGAAUUCCUAGUGUAGCGGUGAAAUGCAUAGAUAUUAGGAGGAACAUCGGUGGCGAAGGCGGCUUUCUGGACUGACACUGACGCUGAGGCUCGAAAGCGUGGGGAGCAAACAGGAUUAGAAACCCCGGUAGUCC